CGAAUGACGCAGUCUGACCAGCCAUGCCGCGUGAGUGAUGAAGGCCCUAUGGGUCGUAAACUUCUUUUAUUAGGGAAAAAAAAAUGGGAUGCGUCCUAUACUGACGGUACUUAAUGAAUAAGGAUCGGCUAACUUCAUGCCAGCAGCCGCGGUAAUAAGU
Molecule: ribosomal RNA, 160 nt
Filed under: uncultured bacterium
Lineage: Bacteria
Description: partial 16S ribosomal RNA
Rfam family: Bacterial small subunit ribosomal RNA
Source: RNAcentral